Non-coding RNA from Paramuricea clavata, 1067 nucleotides. The record is from the annotation of a GenBank genome assembly. Lineage: Eukaryota; Metazoa; Cnidaria; Anthozoa; Malacalcyonacea; Plexauridae.
ACUCGAAAACAAUUUGAGAUAUAAAAAAACUGUUUAAAUGUUUUAUAUGCGGAUUUUUCAAAGCUUUCUGAUGAUGCAAGUCAUUUUUGUUGUAAUUGAAUACAAACUUUCACAUUUUCUUGCUGUAAUACAAUUUAAUAGAGGAUAAUCGCUGAUCACCCAUUUUCUCGGUAUUGGGCAAGUUUUUCGCUUGGAAACUUUUUGUUGGUAAUUGAGCAUCUAUGGCACUAUGCAUGCAUUGAACCACAGAAAAUCUAUUCCCCAGGAGGGUGCCACGAAAUUGCUUUUCUUAAUAGUGGAAAACCGGCUUAUGUUUGAUAUGCAAAUUAUCCUCAUUAUGACGUCACAUUGCAUAACGACUUCCCCAGUAUAUACUAUAUGUCGACAGAUUCGAGUCAGUUAUCUAUAAGGGUUAUAAUUUAAAUUUCACAAAGCCUUUAUUUUAUGCAAUUUGACGUCAUAGUUAGAAGAACUUGCGCAUCGAACAUUCUUGUAUAUCUCAAGAAAGAAAUAAGUCAAGAUAGUUUGGCAAAGUAUUUUACUAGUCAUUUUAAAUUUUCUCUAUAUAAAAUUCAAUCAUAAAUCUGAUGAAACGACUUGCAAGUCGUCCAUGCAUGUUUUAAACUGUGAGGCGUAUGGAAAAGAUGGAUAAUGUGGUUUAUUUCUAAUAUACAGCUCAAAAUAAAUAUCGUACAGUCAUAUGCAGCAGUUAAAACGUGCUGGCUAUGACUUGCGUGUCGUUUGAUUUUCGGCAAGUUAUUGUUCCAAGACAAAGUACUUUUAUGAAAAUCUCGAUAAAAGUUUUUUGUGGUUUUCAUAUGUUUCUUAUUAAUCUUUCGCUUAUUCAAUAUGACCUUAUUGCUUGUUAUUAUUACUUAUAAAUUUACUUAUUAUGCAUGGUUAGACAUAAUUCACUGAAAGUCUUUCAGAUACUGAUUCAGUAUUUAAUCUAUAUAAAACAGCACAUAGACAUAGUGCAACUGGUCAAGCAAUUAUACGAUUUCUGAGAUUGGGGUUAAAUCUAGUUUAAUUCAUUGGUGUAAAAUCUUGUCUUUGUUUAAGUAAUA